Long non-coding RNA from Passer domesticus (house sparrow), 5064 nucleotides. RefSeq lists it as uncharacterized. The record is from RefSeq and is a predicted model, not a curated record. The transcript is spliced from 2 exons. Lineage: Eukaryota; Metazoa; Chordata; Aves; Passeriformes; Passeridae.
UGUUUCAGCCUUCAGUAACUACAGCUGAGACAGAGCUCAGGGAAAGCAGGGGAAGGGAGAACAGACAGAAGGGCCUGAGGAAAGUAGAAAAGAAAAAGAGGAACUAAAGCAUUCGAUGAACUGAGUGGAGAAAAAUGAAAGCAGGUUUAGGGGUGGCAGGAGGUUUAAAAGCAAAUUUACAUCAAUGAGGGCUGGGAAAAGUAAAGUCAAGCUGAGAGGCUGGGCCAGUCCCACAGGGCAGGGCAGGUUCUGAGCCUCACAUGGAGGUUAGCACUUAAAUACACGUUAAAAUACAGUCUUUAAACCAAACAUGAACCUGCAGCAAGCUUGUUGGGCUGCAGGCAGUGAGGGGAAGUGUAAGCAAAGCUACAGCUGGGACAGGGAGAAGGACAGGAGGCUGCUGCCUCCCUCAGCCUCACCUCGGCGCUCCUUGGUGGGCCAUGAGCCGCUUCAGUCCCUGGCCACAGUCCGGGCAUGGUCAUGGAGCUCCGCGAGCCACAGGACACCUCUGUGAGGGUGACACACCGCAUCCUGUCCGACAGCCUCAUCCCACGACGAGUUCGUCACACCAGAAUCACUGAAUAAUAGGUUGGGAAGAGAUCACCCAAUCCAACCCCCUGCCCAGGCAGGGUCACCUGGAGCAGGUGACACAAGAAGGCGUCCACAUGGGUUUGGAAUGUCUCCAGAGAGGCAGACUCCAGGCCCUCCCUGGGCAGCUGUUCCAGUGCUCUGCCACUUUCCAUGGAAAAAACUCCUUCCUCAUGUUGAGAUGGAACCUCUUGUGUUUCAUUUUACGGCCUCUCUUUCUUUUCCUAUUAUUGUGCACCACUGAAAAGAGCCUGGCACCAUCCUCUGACAUCCCUUGGAGACAUUUAUGCAUCAAUGAGAUCGCCUCUCAGUCUUCAGUAGACUAAACAGGACCAGCUCCCUUAGUGUCUCCUCAUAAGGAAGUUGCUUCAGACUUCUCUUUAUCUUUGUGGCCUCCUCUGGUCCCUCCAGAUACGGCCUCACUUGCGCCGAGAUUAUUAUUAUUAUUAUUAUUAUUAUUAUUAUUAUUAUUACUACUCAGUUUUCAAUGAGGCUAGCCCUCUGUCAUGUCUCUUUUCCCACAUUAGCACACAGGAUCACCCAAGAGGUUUAAAACCCAGGCAGUCCUCACAGAGAAGUUUAUUUUGUAGGUUAUUUUAGGUAGCCAGGCCAACCGUGCAGGAGGAAUUCCAGACACACACUCCCUGUUUUUUCCUGGAGCAAUGCAAUGACUCGUGUCCUGCAGUCAUAGGUUCCCCUGCCUUUCACUGAAGGGAAUCCAGCUCCAGGGGCCAUGUGCCAGCCCAGUUCCAUGGAGAGGGACCGGCCUUUCUCCAAAGGCUGUGGUAACCUCUGCUGGCAGCUCCUGGCUGCUACACCGGCUAAGAUGUUACUAGAGGUGAGCUUGUAGUUAAACAGACAAAAAGACAUCAGAAAAGGCAUUUCACAUUUGAUUACUCAUACUUUUUGGUAUGCAUUUGCUACUACAGAGGAUUGGAACUUUUAAUUUGAAUGUGUAUUUUUAAAGCAUCGGUGAUUUAGAUAAAUUAGGACCCUGUUCAUCCAAGUAUGAACAUGUUUAUUUCCUCAGACAGUGCAGUUUUUAUUACCAAGCAGGUCUGUAACUGUAGUUUGCAGAUAAUCUACAUUAUUCUGUUUGAAGAUGUGGAUACACCAUCGAGUGUCAUCUGACAUACCUGAGGGAUGCAUUUUAUGCAUAGGAUAAUGUCAAUGAUGCCACCUUUUUUUCAGUGUUUAAGCAAAUAUGUCACACUUGUGACUUAUGAGCAACCCUGUCCCACUUCUUCAAAUGGUGCUAUUUCAUAUCUGUGUAAAACAGGUACUAUUCACAUCAAUAGGUACAUUAAAGGCUCCAGGUGAGGCCAUGGUCAUAAGUUUUUGGAAUUACAGAUGUUGUCUUUUUGCUCUGAGAAGUUUAAAAUCCAAACAGAUUUUGGGCAGAACAGGAACAAAAUGCAGGCAACAGAUAUAGGAUUCCAACUGACCUGGAUUCCUAUUAGUCUGCCUUACUCUGGAGGUGCAUGCAGAGAGAUGGAAUACACACGGGAUAAAUGAGAGCUGGGUUUUACUGGAAGCUUCUAUCACAUUGGCAAGAAAUCAGGUGCUAGCCUUCAUUUCAACUAUUACCAGUAGAAACAGAUUGUCACCUCAUCCAUGGAAAACUUAACACUUGCCUCCCAUUCUAUUUGCAACUAUAGUCUGUGGUCUUCGAUCUCCUUAAUUGAAAUACUUAAUAGAAAAGCUUCUAUGAGGCAAGAUUUCAGCCAGAAUUAAUUUCAUUUUCUCUACUCUGCAGGUUUCUGGUUUUUUACCAUAGCUGAAACAGCAGCCCACAGCAACAAACAUGCUUCAAUCUAAAGGCAUCUUGAGAAUUCCUGCUUAAGAUAUAUGCAUCUACUCUACCAAAACCAUGAUUUCUAAGAAAAAUCUGUGGCCACACAACUGCCUCAAAAUGGAAAACAUCGUGUAGACAAUGUGCAUGUUGUUACAAGUCAGACCUUAAUUGACCAAAAAUAUUAGAUAGAGCUGUCUGUUUAAUUAGACACGGAUCAAAAAUGAAGAACUAAGUACUUUCCCAUCAUUCUCUGCAGGUUUUGAAGUUGGCAUUUCCCCUCUCUGCAUAUAGUUAGUUGUUUGCCUCGGGUUGUAAAGAAAUGCAGAGGGCUGUUAUUAAAGCACUGAUAAUUUGCUGAACUCCUUCUUUUGUGGAACUUGCUGAGUUAGAAAAUUCCUUUUCACCUCCUCCCCCACCCCUCCUUGACUAGAAUUGAACUGAAGAACAAAUAUCACAUUAUAGUGCUAGGUAAAAGGAUCAACUGUGUUUGCAGUUAAGUGACUAGCACAAGACAGAACAAAUCCUACAGCUCAAACCUGUCCAGCUAAAUGAUGAGAGAAAUAAAGAAAGCAUUUGCUUUUUAAAAGAAUAUCAGAACAAAGACUCAUGUUUAGGAUUUGCUGUGCUUUAGUUCUUUAUAUUCAGAAAUUGACUCCCACUUUAGUUUGUUAGAAAGUUUUACAACCCUGAAGAUAAAGAAUUGCCACUGCAAUGAGAGAGAUUCUGAGAAUGCAGAAAACACAACUGAUGAGGCCAACUCAUCAACUGUUCAGUGGCGGCCUCAGCUCAGAGGUCUGCAUUUCAGCACUCCAGCCCCUGACAGGAAGGAUUUUUAUCCAGUUCUCCAUGUAGCAUUCUAGUGAAGCUAUAGUGGGCUCUUUCAAGGCCAGUGGCUCAAGUUAAAAUUCAGCCAAGCUGGCAGUUAGAACCUUCCCUUUCUGCCACAGAUAGCUGUUUCCAAAUUGCUACAACUAAAUUCUAUAUCUGUUCCUCAUUACAUGUCAACUGCUACCAUUUUUCACUAGCAUUAAUAUUCUUGUAAACUACAGAGAUCAGGCAGUACAGAACCCAUCCAAUUAUCCCCAGCAUUGACCUCAGUGCAGAUAAGCAGAGCUACUUCUCCAUCAGGUGCUCUCAUUAAAUCUGCUGCCAAACACACAUCAACCAGCCCAGUCUUUCAGCUGACAAAUAAAAAGGAGAUGUCAGACACCCACAGAAUCACCAGGCUUUUUGCAAGAGGGAUGGACAUCACUUAAACCACACAGAAGUAUUAUCAGGAAGCACAGAUUUUGACAUUUCUCAUUAUAUCUUCCCAACAUGAAGCAAUCAUUUGCAUUCUUUCCCCUGCUUGAUCCACUUUUUCAAAGGGUCUGAUCUUUCUGUUAAUCAUUGAUAGAAGCAUGCUCUUGUCUUAUAUUAAAAUGAAAUAGAUUUUCUGUUUGCCCCUACUUGCUUGCCUUUUUUAUACAUAUUCAAGUUCUUCUCUGCUCUGUGGCAUUCUUCAAACUUACAUUUUGGUACAGCUGCUUUGUAGUUCAAAGAAAGACAUAAGAAGAGGCAAUAUUUUGGAACACUAAUUUUUAAGUAUUUAACAUGUACAGACACUGGUUGAACAGCACAACCAAGGAAGGAGGAUGUAGUUUCUGUUGCAUUGAAUGGACAAAGAUCGCAAUGCACUUCUGAACACAUUCUGUUUCUCUAGCAGAGAAAAGGGCCAGGAAGUCCCACAAAGUUGUCCAAAUCACAUUGGUUCUUAUGACUUCUUUCAAUUACUAUUUCACACAGUGGUAUCACCUGCUAAGGAAUUAAUACCAAGUUGGAAAAAAAAGCAAGACCAAGCCAGCAGCAUCUUGACCUCAUGAGCCAUGGCGCAAACGCAUGAAGUGCUGGAAUAUGUCUCAGCGGGAAUGAUAUGAUAGACCAAGCUGAUGGCCUUCCCUAGGGAAAAUUAUUAUGAAGUGCUGAAAAGGGGUGAAGAAUCUGUUUAACACUGAAAAGAGAAGCAACCUCUGCUACCCUCUGAAGACAGCAUUUCACACUGCAUCCUCACCCUGCUGCAGCAGUCUGCUGCAGCAAGUUGCCAUAAGAUGGCAGCAAAGGGGAGACAGAUUUUCAGUUGGAUAAACUGCUAAGGCUAAAGCUCUCAAGCUUUUGGAAAAACAAGAUUUCCAAGACAAUCUGCUGAUGCAACCACUAUUUCACUUGAUGACUUCUGGGAAAGAACAACUAAAACAAUGCAAGUGGAUUUUAUCUGAUGACUGGUACUACUUAUUUAUAUCAUUUCUGAUAGCAAUAGCAUUCUACAGAUCUUUUGCAGCAGAAUACUCCACCAUUUAUUUUUUUAGUGGUUUUUAUCUUCAACACCUCUGUAGACAUACUUUCAUCUAUAUUUUUAUUUAAUUUUUUUAUUUUAUGCAGUUUAGGCAAGCAUACACAAAGUCAAAUCUAUGGGGGAGAUGAAUGGGACAAAACCAAGAGAAAUGAGGCUCUGCAUAUAGACAGGAAAAACACAGUUUAGUCUGGCACUUAGACUUUGCAGGGGGAGCAGAAAUUUAGUCAGCAUUUUACAAGUCCUCUUCCCACCUUUUCUGUGUUAUAUGGUCUUUAGAGGGAGAGCGUUGAAAUUGCAGCCUUAGAGAGCUAGAAGCAACUGUGGGACAACCAAGGCUGUGGUAGUCAUU